Non-coding RNA from Desmophyllum pertusum, 71 nucleotides. The record is from the annotation of a GenBank genome assembly. NCBI's taxonomy places the organism in Eukaryota, Metazoa, Cnidaria, Anthozoa, Scleractinia, Caryophylliidae.
GGCUUCAUAGCUCAGUUGGUAGAGCAUUGCAUUAGUAAUGUGGAGGUCGACAUGUAAUCCCACUGAAGCCC